Exaiptasia diaphana is the source of this 69-nucleotide small nuclear RNA. Lineage: Eukaryota; Metazoa; Cnidaria; Anthozoa; Actiniaria; Aiptasiidae. The record is from RefSeq and is a predicted model, not a curated record.
GUGCUACUUCGGUAGCGCGUAUAAUAAAAUUGGAACGAUACAGAGAAGAUUAGCAUGGCCCCUGCGCAA